This 926-nucleotide ribosomal RNA is filed under the name uncultured bacterium. Its description in RNAcentral is "bacterial SSU rRNA". It matches the Rfam family "Bacterial small subunit ribosomal RNA", at positions 8 to 916 of the family's 1533-position model. The record is from RNAcentral.
AGAGUUUGAUCAUGGCUCAGGACGAACGCUGGCGGCGUGCCUAAUACAUGCAAGUAGAACGCUGAAGAAAGGAGCUUGCUUCUUUUGGAUGAGUUGCGAACGGGUGAGUAACGCGUAGGUAACCUGCCUUGUAGCGGGGGAUAACUAUUGGAAACGAUAGCUAAUACCGCAUAACAGCUUUUGACACAUGUUAGAAGCUUGAAAGAUGCAAUUGCAUCACUACGAGAUGGACCUGCGUUGUAUUAGCUAGUAGGUAGGGUAACGGCCUACCUAGGCGACGAUACAUAGCCGACCUGAGAGGGUGAUCGGCCACACUGGGACUGAGACACGGCCCAGACUCCUACGGGAGGCAGCAGUAGGGAAUCUUCGGCAAUGGGGGCAACCCUGACCGAGCAACGCCGCGUGAGUGAAGAAGGUUUUCGGAUCGUAAAGCUCUGUUGUAAGAGAAGAACGUGUGUGAGAGUGGAAAGUUCACACAGUGACGGUAACUUACCAAAAAGGGACGGCUAACUACGUGCCAGCAGCCGCGGUAAUACGUAGGUCCCGAGCGUUGUCCGGAUUUAUUGGGCGUAAAGCGAGCGCAGGCGGUUUAAUAAGUCUGAAGUUAAAGGCAGUGGCUUAACCAUUGUUCGCUUUGGAAACUGUUAAACUUGAGUGCAGAAGGGGAGAGUGGAAUUCCAUGUGUAGCGGUGAAAUGCGUAGAUAUAUGGAGGAACACCGGUGGCGAAAGCGGCUCUCUGGUCUGUAACUGACGCUGAGGCUCGAAAGCGUGGGGAGCAAACAGGAUUAGAUACCCUGGUAGUCCACGCCGUAGACGAUGAGUGCUAGGUGUUAGGCCCUUUCCGGGGCUUAGUGCCGCAGCUAACGCAUUAAGCACUCCGCCUGGGGAGUACGACCGCAAGGUUGAAACUCAAAUGAAUUGACGG